GUGCCAGCAGCCGCGGUAAUACAGAGGGUGCAAGCGUUGUUCGGAAUUACUGGGCGUAAAGCGCGUGUAGGUGGCGAUGUAAGUCGGGUGUGAAAUCCCUCAGCUUAACUGAGGAAGUGCACUCGAUACUGUGUCGCUUGAGUGUUGGAGGGGAUGGCGGAAUUCCCGGUGUAGAGGUGAAAUUCGUAGAUAUCGGGAGGAACACCUGUGGCGAAGGCGGCCAUCUGGACAACUACUGACACUGAGACGCGAAAGCGUGGGUAGCAAACAGGAUUAGAAACCCUAGUAGUCC
RNAcentral lists this ribosomal RNA (292 nucleotides) under uncultured bacterium. RNAcentral's name for it is "partial 16S ribosomal RNA". It matches the Rfam family "Bacterial small subunit ribosomal RNA", at positions 505 to 796 of the family's 1533-position model. The record is from RNAcentral.